UUUUUUUACACUGUUUUACAUUUAAGUUUUUUUUUACACCAUUUUGCAUGUAAGAUUCAGGGUUUCUUUUUUUUUUUUUACACCGUUUUGCUUGUAGUGUUUAGGGUUUUGGUUUUCUUACACCGUUUUGGGUGUAGGGCUUGGUUUAGGUUUUUUUACACCAUUUUGCAUGUAAUUUUUUUUUACACAGUUUCGCUGGUAGAGUUUAGGUUUUAGGUUUUUUUACAUGGUUUUACGUGCAAGGUUUUUUCUUUAUUUUAUACCGCUUUGAAUGUAGGGUUUAGGGUUUAGAGGGUCAUGUCCUAUUGUAGAUAACGAGAAUAAUGAUGGUGAUGACAUUUAUAGGACAUAGUGUUGGGUCGAUGUCGUUGAUGGGAAGAAAAAGGGACGGGUCUAUGAUGCAGGACAACUUGAUACAAAUUACAUAGCAAAAAGAGGUUCUCUCAAGCACCAAGCAUCUCCUUCCAUCAGUGUUAAUGAGAUUGUUGUCCACCUCACGCAAUAACUAGAACAAUGUUACCAGGAAUACAACGAAUAAAGGGAUUAGUUUACUAGUUUUAAACAAUUCAUCAUGAGAUUGCUGCCUAAGACUUCACAACUUCAGCCCACCGUCCCUCCGACCCAAUUAUGACCCUCUCCAUCACCUGUCGUCCCAGAGCACCCCACAUCAGUCCAACCCUGUAACAUCCCAAUAAAUAUAGCUUUAAAACUAUAGUUUACUUUUAGGAGUUAACAAAAACAAUAAAAGAGAACAAUGGCGAAUAAGCAAGUAAAGAGAAAGGAAUAUGAAAUUUCAUAUAGAAUUUAAAACUUUUACAAGAACUAGAAAUCUGAUAGAAUACACAAGCUGA
RNAcentral lists this long non-coding RNA (851 nucleotides) under Vigna radiata. Its description in RNAcentral is "long non-coding RNA (VRAD_LNC008786)". Lineage: Eukaryota; Viridiplantae; Streptophyta; Magnoliopsida; Fabales; Fabaceae. The record is from RNAcentral.